This 537-nucleotide ribosomal RNA is filed under the name Mycena aff. pura TL8052. Its description in RNAcentral is "eukaryotic LSU rRNA". It matches the Rfam family "Eukaryotic large subunit ribosomal RNA", at positions 77 to 622 of the family's 3401-position model. Lineage: Eukaryota; Fungi; Basidiomycota; Agaricomycetes; Agaricales; Mycenaceae. The record is from RNAcentral.
CCCUUAGUAACUGCGAGUGAAGCGGGAAAAGCUCAAAUUUGAAAUCUGGCGGUUCUGCCGUCCGAGUUGUAAUUUAGAGAAGUGUUACCCGCGCUGGACCGUGUACAAGUCUCCUGGAAUGGAGCGUCAUAGAGGGUGAGAAUCCCGUCUUUGACACGGACUACCAGGGCAUUGUGGUACGCUCUCGAAGAGUCGAGUUGUUUGGGAAUGCAGCUCAAAAUGGGUGGUAAAUUCCAUCUAAAGCUAAAUAUUGGGGAGAGACCGAUAGCGAACAAGUACCGUGAGGGAAAGAUGAAAAGAACUUUGGAAAGAGAGUUAAACAGUACGUGAAAUUGCUGAAAGGGAAACGCUUGAAGUCAGUCGCGUCGUUCGGGAUUCAGCUUUAGCUUCUGCUGGGUGUAUUUCCUGUUCGACGGGUCAGCAUCAGUUUUGGCCGGUGGAUAAAGGCUCAGGGAAUGUGGCAUCCUUGGAUGUGUUAUAGCCCUGGGUCGCAUACAUCGGCUGGGACUGAGGAACUCAGCACGCCNCAAGGCCAGG